GAACUGCGAUAAGUAAUGUGAAUUGCAGAAUUCAGUGAAUCAUCGAGUCUUUGAACGCACAUUGCGCCCCCUGGCAUUCCGGGGGGCAUGCCUGUCCGAGCGUCAUUGCUGCCCUUCAAGCCCGGCUUGUGUGUUGGGUCGUCGUCCCCUCCGGGGGACGGGCCCGAAAGGCAGCGGCGGCACCGCGUCCGGUCCUCGAGCGUAUGGGGCUUUGUCACCCGCUCGAUAAGGACCGGCCGGGCGCCAGCCGGCGUCUCCAACCUUUUUUUCCCAGGUUGACCUCGGAUCAGGUAGGGAUACCCGCUGAACUUAAGC
Molecule: unclassified non-coding RNA, 315 nt
Filed under: plant metagenome
Description: partial contains 5.8S ribosomal RNA, internal transcribed spacer 2, and large subunit ribosomal RNA
Rfam family: 5.8S ribosomal RNA (bases 1-105)
Source: RNAcentral